GGCGGACGGGUGAGUAACGCGUGGGCAACCUGCCCUGUACAGGGGGAUAACACCGGGAAACCGGUGCUAAAACCGCAUAAAGCCGGUAAUGCGCAUGCAUAAUCGGUGAAAACUGAGGUGGUACAGGAUGGGCCCGCGUCCCAUUAGCUAGUUGGUGAGAUAACAGCCCACCAAGGCGACGAUGGGUAGCCGACCUGAGAGGGUGACCGGCCACACUGGGACUGAGACACGGCCCAGACUCCUACGGGAGGCAGCAGUGGGGAAUAUUGCGCAAUGGACGGAAGUCUGACGCAGCGACGCCGCGUGAGCGACGAAGGCCUUCGGGUCGUAAAGCUCUGUUCUUGGGGACGAAAAAGAUGACGGUACCCAAGGAGCAAGCCCCGGCUAACUACGUGCCAGCAGCCGCGGUAAUACGUAGGGGGCGAGCGUUGUCCGGAAUUACUGGGCGUAAAGGGCGUGUAGGCGGCUGAGUAAGUCAG
Molecule: ribosomal RNA, 479 nt
Filed under: uncultured bacterium
Lineage: Bacteria
Description: bacterial SSU rRNA
Rfam family: Bacterial small subunit ribosomal RNA
Source: RNAcentral